Non-coding RNA from Chlorocebus sabaeus (green monkey), 4718 nucleotides. The record is from RefSeq and is a predicted model, not a curated record. Lineage: Eukaryota; Metazoa; Chordata; Mammalia; Primates; Cercopithecidae.
UCCUCCUGCCUCUGCCUCCCAAAGCACUGGGAUUACAGGUGUGAGCCACUGUGCCUGGCCGCUAUAUCAUUUUUUCCUGUUUGGUUAAUUGAUAGUCCCAACACCACUUGCUAAAGAUCUCUUCCUUUCCCCACUCAGGUGCCUCACUGAGGAACCCACUCAUGGUUCCUCUGGCUCCUACCAUAUUCCCAUGUAUGCACAGGUCUGUUUUUUGGUCCCCUGCUCACUUUUAUUGUCUAAUUGACUUCUAUUUCUAUCCAGCUAUUCCAUUUAUCACAUUUAGUUACUGUAUCUUUAUAUUAAGUCUUGAUACUGAUUGAACACAGGACUUCCAUUGUAGUCCUGUGUUUUCCCUGGCAGUUUCUCCAAAUUGUCUUAGACAUCCUUGGUGCUUUACCCUGUGGUUUUUAGACAAGUUUGUCUAGGUCUUUUAGAAAACAGUUAGCUUCCCUAAGCCUCCAUUUCCUUUACCAUGACCUAUGCCUCACAGGACUGCAAAGAUUAAGUGUAAAACAGUGAACACCACCUGGCCAAGAACACAAGAAACACUGAGUAGAUAGUAUCAUCUUCCCCAAAUGCCCAACCUGAUGCAGUCACUGUUCUGUUAAAAACAUUGUUGGCUUCCCAGGCAUGCAGAGUAAAGUUCAAACACAGCCUGCUAAGCCACCUGACCCCAGCUAACCUUUCCCAUGGCACCACCUGCCUCUCCCUCCUCCCUGCCCACUAUCCCUAUCAUGUUCCCUGAACACAGUGCUCUGCCCUCGAACAUGCUGUCCCUUCACGCUGGGAUCCCACGCAUCCCUCAUGGAUCCUCUCAGACAAUGCCUCCUUUGAGGAGUUAGGCACUCCCUCGGGCUUCUUGUAUUGCAUGUAUCGCUUUGCAUUGUGAUUACUUGCGUCUGUUGUGACUUUGUGUCUUAUCUAGUGAACUCAGCACAGGCCUUGGCAUUUCCAAAGAGGUGCCAUCAUUUGAUAAUCACACCCUGACUUUGGUGUCACACACACUCCUUCACUUAUUUAACACAAUAAUCCUGCGAAGUAGACUUCUCCCCCACUGAACAGGAGGGAGCAGGGAUGGUAAUUUGUUCAAGAUCAAAGAGCUUGUCAACAGAGGAGCAGAGACCUGCAUCCUGGGCUAAUUCCCAACAUUUGUAUCUUCUAUUACAGCAGGCAGCCUUCGGAUGACUGUCCUUCUUCCCUUUUCUCAAUUUCUUAUCUCCAUCUCAUCCUUCCAUGGUCCUCCCACCUGAGCUCUCUCUGAUAUUGGUCCUUUCUACUUCACCCCCCACCCGAGACUUACUUUUCCCAGGUUGUCACCUCUCCCAUUUCAUGCCAUCUGUCACCCAAGCAGGUGCCUCUGUGAGGACUGUGUGUCCUAGGUUUAGCACAUUGCUGGUAUUCAGAACAUAGAACAUGGAACCUCAUGGCUACAUCCUCAGAUGUUGAGAUGUUAGCUUGGUGUCACAAGAUCAAGGAUAUAAAAUAAAUCCUUCACAGCCUCAAUCUGUUGGAAACCAGAAAGCAAGCAAAGCCAUGGCUUGUAACACCAGGCUUUCUUGGAACAGUUAUCAGGUGUCCAGAGAUGGAAGCCACCCUGACUGGGGAUGAGCAGUUAUUCUACCAACUCAAACUGGCCUAGACGGUCAGUGCUACCACCCGGCAUGUCAACAAAGGAUGGAGGAAGUGCAGUGCUGGUCCUCACAAUGACAGGAGCUGCAAUGGUGUCCUCAGGGCUGAUUUUCUCUCUCCACCCAUGUCCGAAGUUUUGGGGCGUCUCUUUAGAGUUCUUUCUCUCUAGCCACAAGUCCUGCAGGCCAUUGGAAGACUAGGCUGCAGAAAGGGAACUCCUUGAGUCUGCAGAGCCUCAUGCAUGGUAUCACAACGGCUUCCAGACUGUUCCACUCCAAACUCUCCUGCUGGCUCCUCCUCAGACAUGGUUGAUACCACAUGACUGCCCUGUUCAGGAACACGCCCAUGCAUAAAACAAAACUCUCUGGACUGGCUUUUGUGGUUUUCCAUAAUUUGAUCUCAUCAGACUUUAUUUUCCAUUACAGCUCAAACUGUUCCUUCCAUUUUGGGACCAGGGGACAGAGUUCACUUAAUGCUGCUCUCCCACUAAAGACACUCACCCAUUCUCUGCCUGCAAGCCCUACCACUACACAACUUCAAAAAUGGCUCCACCCUUCCUGAUUCCACCCCACACAGAGGAAAGCAACUUCUUGCGACGCUUCCUUAUUCUGGAAAUGGCUUACCUCUUUCCCCUUCCAGCUCCUUUGUGCCCCCUAGAAAGCCUCCCUGGCUAAGGGGGACAGGCCCUCUCCUCAGCACUGGGCACUGACCGUCUAACCAGGGCUCUCUGGGCACCUGGUUGCAAGGAUGGCAAGAUACAACAACAUGCUGAUUUUAAUAGCCUCUGGCUUCUCCACUGCAUUUCUCACCUGAAUGCCCUGCACACCAAAUCUUCCAUGGGAUCACCCUUGACCUCUAGGGCAAUUCCCAUGAAUCCAGCAGAGGAGUGGGGGAGACCAAAAGACUGACAUGAAGGACUCAAGGGAAACCUCUGGAAAGAAGACACCAGACACUAAAAGGGAUAUGUGUGAAAUACUGGUUUUUAUUGGUUGGCACAAGAUUACAACCUACAGUUUCAAUGCCCUUCCCUCCCACACAGCUCAAAUGGAAGGAAACUGAUUAACACAUAGAAAGGAAUGGCAGGCUCACAGGUUUAAGCAUUUGUUUUUACAAAAAGGAGUGGAAUAUGGGGGUGGUCAAGUUUUACGGGUAGUAACAACAUUCUCUCCAGGUGGCAGGGGGUAAGUCUGCCUGUCCUCCAUUGCUGAUACCACAUAAGGGACAUAUUAGUAAAGUAGGGAAAGGGUUAUAUGUGUGGCUGGCCUGUUCUUAAGAGAGGAAGGUGGGAUAGUAUCUGCUGUGUGCCUGUCUCAGACCAAACCUGGGGCUGAACCAGUGCCCCUUUCUUCUGAGCCCUCCUCCACAACCUGACAGUACUGCCAGCCGCACCCAUGGGAAGGAGGUGUGAAGGAAGCCUGAGAACAUCCGCCUCGAGAAAAGGAAACAGGAAAACUAUUUCCUUCCGCCUUCUCUGGACCAAAUUCCACUCCCCUCAGCUCCAGAGAGCGCUGCAAAAAUCUUCCUUAGGAACGCUGUGAAGACACGGGGAAAAGGCCAGCCCAGACAGGUAGUCCUGAGCGGGCAAGAAGAAAAGCUUGAACUUUCCAUGCAGUACCAAGCAAGAUUGUUUUGGAAACACGCAAACAAAAAAUGGAAACCAACACCAUAUACCCACAGGUUGGGUAGCUCCCAAAUCCCAGACAGCAUUUGGAUUGGAGGUAAGGACAAUUUUACUCCAGCUCCUUGUUUUAUAACCCACACCAGGUGCCAAGAGGUUUAAGGACCAAAACUGACCUCUCUUUCCCUACAAGCACCAUUCCUUGGAUUCCCAGUUUUGUUGAGCUCAUUUGGGGUCAUCCUUGCCAUCCUCUUCAAAAAUGAUGCAGCCUCUUGGUGGUUCCAUUUGCUAUCCCUUUCUACAAUUAUGAACACACUGUCUAAACAGGAGAUCUAUAUAUGCUGUCACCCUGCAGCCCAAGAGAUUAGGUGAUCUAACGAUAAGAAGGCCAGCUUACUUGCUUUCCCGGGUGGUCCUGAUGGAAAUGAACAGCAGCAGAGUUCUGGUGGGACAGAGCAGUCUAGUCGGAGCCACUGUGUGAUUCCCCAGGGGACUGGUCCCUGGGUACAUGGGUCCCUGGCUCUGUCUCAGUUCCAGAGACAUUACUCAACUUGGCCUUUUAAGCCUCAGCUAAAACAUAUGAGCAUGAGGGAAAAGGGACAAGAAAUACUUUUGUCCUCUGGAAAAACGUAAACGCAAUACAUUUUGGCUACUUAGGCUCAAGCCACACGGUUCCCUGGAAACACUUGUUGAACCUGGCCAAGAGGAGACUGUAUAUGGAUGGCACACCUGGAAAAGGGGAGAAAGCACACUAGUUCAUCUCUUUUAUAAGUGGAAUGGUCCCAGGGAUGUUAACCUUUCUGAUGCUGAUGGUAGAUGAGUGGAGUGGAGGUAAUCCUGUGAGAAAACUCCUUAAAAACCCUUAAGCUGUGUGGAGACUACACAUCACAGCUGAGCAAACCAAGGUGGGGCCUCACUGCCUCCUCAGAGCCCAUCCCUGACCAUGUCAUUGGAUAGGAUGGAAGACAAAGUCUUUGAAAUGGAGGCUGGGCUGGCAAAAGUAAGUAUGAAGAUGCUACUACUGUCCUUCCACUUCCUCUCUCUGAUACACCUAAGAAGGCGAGAGACACUUACUUCAAUUCCAUUUUACAAUAGUUCUUAACAUCCUGAAAUACUCUUGACUUCCUUAAUUCAGCACAGGGAAAACUGGUAAGCUAUCUUUCUAACUGAAAUUUGACUUAUUCUAACCACCAACCUUUUCUUUGAUUAUCAACCAGUUUGAUAGUCUUCAGAUCAUAAAACAAUAGAACAGACCUGACAUUUACAAAACUGUACUACUUACUUCUUUUACAGUAGAGUUGACCAAUCACUUUUCUAACUACUAAUGCAACACCAUGCCACUGGGCCCUGGACUCUGAUGUUUCUGAUCCCUGAGCAACACAUCUAUGUCCAUUCACAGAUGGAAGUGAAAGGGUGAGAUUCUCAGAGUCUAAACAAAAUUCUGGUAGCAAAUUGGAUUUCUGAAGGGAGA